AUUGAACGCUGGCGGCAGGCCUAACACAUGCAAGUCGAGCGGAUGAAGGGAGCUUGCUCCUGGAUUCAGCGGCGGACGGGUGAGUAAUGCCUAGGAAUCUGCCUGGUAGUGGGGGAUAACGUCCGGAAACGGGCGCUAAUACCGCAUACGUCCUGAGGGAGAAAGUGGGGGAUCUUCGGACCUCACGCUAUCAGAUGAGCCUAGGUCGGAUUAGCUAGUUGGUGGGGUAAAGGCCUACCAAGGCGACGAUCCGUAACUGGUCUGAGAGGAUGAUCAGUCACACUGGAACUGAGACACGGUCCAGACUCCUACGGGAGGCAGCAGUGGGGAAUAUUGCACAAUGGGCGAAAGCCUGAUCCAGCCAUGCCGCGUGUGUGAAGAAGGUCUUCGGAUUGUAAAGCACUUUAAGUUGGGAGGAAGGGCAGUAAGUUAAUACCUUGCUGUUUUGACGUUACCAACAGAAUAAGCACCGGCUAACUUCGUG
Molecule: ribosomal RNA, 484 nt
Filed under: uncultured bacterium
Lineage: Bacteria
Description: partial 16S ribosomal RNA
Rfam family: Bacterial small subunit ribosomal RNA
Source: RNAcentral